Molecule: ribosomal RNA, 622 nt
Filed under: uncultured bacterium
Lineage: Bacteria
Description: bacterial SSU rRNA
Rfam family: Bacterial small subunit ribosomal RNA
Source: RNAcentral
UAACGCGUAAGGAACUUGCCUCUUGGUCUGGGACAACUGUUGGAAACGACAGCUAAUACCAGAUAUUAUGAGAUUCUCGCAUGAGAAACUUAUGAAAGCUAUAUGCGCCAAGAGAGAGCCUUGCGUUCCAUUAGCUAGUUGGUGGGGUAACGGCCCACCAAGGCGACGAUGGAUAGCCGGCCUGAGAGGGUGAACGGCCACAAGGGGACUGAGACACGGCCCUUACUCCUACGGGAGGCAGCAGUGGGGAAUAUUGGACAAUGGGCCACAAGCCUGAUCCAGCAAUUCUGUGUGCACGAUGAAGGUCUUCGGAUUGUAAAGUGCUUUCAGUUGGGAAGAAGAAAGUGACGGUACCAACAGAAGAAGCGACGGCUAAAUACGUGCCAGCAGCCGCGGUAAUACGUAUGUCGCAAGCGUUAUCCGGAUUUAUUGGGCGUAAAGCGCGUCUAGGCGGAAAAAUAAGUCUGAUGUUAAAAUGCGGGGCUCAACUCCGUAUUGCGUUGGAAACUGUUUUUCUAGAGUACUGGAGAGGUGGGCGGAACUACAAGUGUAGAGGUGAAAUUCGUAGAUAUUUGUAGGAAUGCCGAUGGAGAAGUCAGCUCACUGGACAGAUACUGACGCU